Small nuclear RNA from Pipistrellus kuhlii (Kuhl's pipistrelle), 105 nucleotides. Lineage: Eukaryota; Metazoa; Chordata; Mammalia; Chiroptera; Vespertilionidae. The record is from RefSeq and is a predicted model, not a curated record.
GCUUGCUUCUGCAGCCCACAUACUAAAAUUGGAACAAUACAGAGAAGAUUAGCAUGACUCCUGCACAAGGAUGACAUACACAUUUGUAAAGCAUUAAAAAAAAAA